AGUUGAUACUGUCAGUCUUGAGUACAGUAGAGGUGGGCGGAAUUCGUGGUGUAGCGGUGAAAUGCUUAGAUAUCACGAAGAACUCCGAUUGCGAAGGCAGCUCACUGGACUGCAACUGACACUGAUGCUCGAAAGUGUGGGUAUCAAACAGGAUUAGAUACCCUGGUAGUCCACACAGUAAACGAUGAAUACUCGCUGUUUGCGAUAUACAGUAAGCGGCCAAGCGAAAGCAUUAAGUAUUCCACCUGGGGAGUACGCCGGCAACGGUGAAACUCAAAGGAAUUGACGGGGGCCCGCACAAGCGGAGGAACAUGUGGUUUAAUUCGAUGAUACGCGAGGAACCUUACCCGGGCUUAAAUUGCAGUGGAAUGAUGUGGAAACAUGUCAGUGAGCAAUCACCGCUGUGAAGGUGCUGCAUGGUUGUCGUCAGCUCGUGCCGUGAGGUGUCGGCUUAAGUGCCAUAACGAGCGCAACCCUUAUCUUCAGUUACUAACAGGUCAUGCUGAGGACUCUGGAGAGACUGCCGUCGUAAGAUGUGAGGAAGGUGGGGAUGACGUCAAAUCAGCACGGCCCUUACGUCCGGGGCUACACACGUGUUACAAUGGGGGGUACAGAAGGCAGCUAGCGGGUGACCGUAUGCUAAUCCCAAAAUCCUCUCUCAGUUCGGAUCGAAGUCUGCAACCCGACUUCGUGAAGCUGGAUUCGCUAGUAAUCGCGCAUCAGCCACGGCGCGGUGAAUACGUUCCCGGGCCUUGUACACACCGCCCGUCAAGCCAUGGGAGCCGGGGGUACCUGAAGUACGUAACCGCAAGGAUCGUCCUAGGGUAAAACUGGUGACUGGGGCUAAGUCGUAACAAGGUAACCA
This 865-nucleotide ribosomal RNA is filed under the name uncultured bacterium. RNAcentral describes it as "bacterial SSU rRNA". It matches the Rfam family "Bacterial small subunit ribosomal RNA", at positions 625 to 1502 of the family's 1533-position model. The record is from RNAcentral.